UACGUAGGUGGCAAGCGUUAUCCGGAAUUAUUGGGCGUAAAGCGCGCGCAGGUGGUUUCUUAAGUCUGAUGUGAAAGCCCACGGCUCAACCGUGGAGGGUCAUUGGAAACUGGGAGACUUGAGUGCAGAAGAGGAAAGUGGAAUUCCAUGUGUAGCGGUGAAAUGCGUAGAGAUAUGGAGGAACACCAGUGGCGAAGGCGACUUUCUGGUCUGUAACUGACACUGAGGCGCGAAAGCGUGGGGAGCAAACAGGAUUAGAAAC
This 262-nucleotide ribosomal RNA is filed under the name uncultured bacterium. RNAcentral describes it as "partial 16S ribosomal RNA". It matches the Rfam family "Bacterial small subunit ribosomal RNA", at positions 524 to 785 of the family's 1533-position model. The record is from RNAcentral.